Molecule: ribosomal RNA, 467 nt
Filed under: uncultured bacterium
Lineage: Bacteria
Description: partial 16S ribosomal RNA
Rfam family: Bacterial small subunit ribosomal RNA
Source: RNAcentral
GACGAACGCUGGCGGCGUGCUUAACACAUGCAAGUCGAACGGACAGGCCCUGCUUUUGUGGGGUGCUCGAGUGGCGAACGGGUGAGUAACACGUGUGUAACCUGCCCUUGACUUUGGGAUAAAUUCAGGAAACUGGGGCUAAUACCGGAUAGGAGCUCUUGCUGCGCGGUGGGGGUUGGAAAGUUGCGGCGGUUGGGGAAGGAAUCGCGGCUUAUCAGCUUGUUGGUGAGGUAGUGGCUUACCAAGGCUUUGACGGGUAGCCGGCCUGGAAGGGUGACCGGCUACAUGGGGACAGGGGUAGGGCCCGGACUCAAACGGGAGGCAGCAGUGGGAAAUAUAGCACGAAGCGCGGAGGCAGUAGGGAGCAUCGCCGGGUGGGGGAUGUCUGCCUUCGGGUAAGAACCCGCUUUCGAGUGUGUAGAAGCGUGUUGAAGGUAAAUGGUUAAAAAGGCACGGGUAAACUACUG